Daphnia magna is the source of this 449-nucleotide long non-coding RNA. RefSeq lists it as uncharacterized. The transcript has 4 exons. The record is from RefSeq and is a predicted model, not a curated record. Lineage: Eukaryota; Metazoa; Arthropoda; Branchiopoda; Diplostraca; Daphniidae.
UUUUGACAAGUACUGUCAUACUUCUGUUGCAGGUUUUCACUAAAUACCAAAAAAAAAAUCACAUUUUCGUGAUCCUCGUCAAAUUUGGGGUCGACUCUAUGUAUCAACUCAAAAUACCCCAAAAUCGUAAAAAAUCGCAAGUCAUUCCCAGCCCAAAUUUAAUAAGGAUCACGAAAAUCCUACUCGUUUUGUUAUGGGAUCAAUAUUUCCGAAGAUAUUGGCUACUUCAGGUGACUUCCGGGAAAUUUUCGUGACAAUCUGCAAAAAGCUGAUCCUACGAGCAACGACAGUUUUACCUACAAAUGUUUAGUGUUUCGUGCUGCAACCAGUAGUUUAUAUUCUAGGAUGUUAUGCCUAAAAUUGGAAUUCAGCUAUCAGAUUACCGAAAUUCAAGUCGAAACUGUAGAUGGCGUUGAUGUGCGUCUAUGAUGAAGAUUAUGAGUGACAAG